AUUGAACGCUGGCGGCAGGCCUAACACAUGCAAGUCGAGCGGAUGACGGGAGCUUGCUCCUUGAUUCAGCGGCGGACGGGUGAGUAAUGCCUAGGAAUCUGCCUGGUAGUGGGGGACAACGUUUCGAAAGGAACGCUAAUACCGCAUACGUCCUACGGGAGAAAGCAGGGGACCUUCGGGCCUUGCGCUAUCAGAUGAGCCUAGGUCGGAUUAGCUAGUUGGUGGGGUAAUGGCUCACCAAGGCGACGAUCCGUAACUGGUCUGAGAGGAUGAUCAGUCACGCUGGAACUGAGACACGGUCCAGACUCCUACGGGAGGCAGCAGUGGGGAAUAGUGGACAAUGGGCGAAAGCCUGAUCCAGCCAUGCCGCGUGUGGGAAGAAGGUCUUCGGAUUGUAAAGCACUUUAAGUUGGGAGGAAGGGCAGUAAGUUAAUACCUUGCUGUUUUGACGUUACCGACAGAAUAAGCACCGGCUAACUCUGUGCCAGCCGCCGCGGUAA
This 500-nucleotide ribosomal RNA is filed under the name uncultured bacterium. RNAcentral's name for it is "partial 16S ribosomal RNA". It matches the Rfam family "Bacterial small subunit ribosomal RNA", at positions 30 to 523 of the family's 1533-position model. The record is from RNAcentral.